RNAcentral lists this ribosomal RNA (253 nucleotides) under uncultured bacterium. RNAcentral's name for it is "partial 16S ribosomal RNA". It matches the Rfam family "Bacterial small subunit ribosomal RNA", at positions 524 to 776 of the family's 1533-position model. The record is from RNAcentral.
UACGAACCGUGCGAACGUUGUUCGGAAUCACUGGGCUUAAAGGGCGCGUAGGCGGGCUUGCAAGUCUGUGGUGAAAUCCUCCAGCCCAACUGGAGAACUGCCGUGGAUACUGCGAGUCUCGAGGGAGGUAGGGGCGUGCGGAACAGAUGGUGGAGCGGUGAAAUGCGUUGAUAUCAUCUGGAACUCCGGUGGCGAAGGCGGCACGCUGGACCUCAUCUGACGCUGAGGCGCGAAAGCUAGGGGAGCAAACGGG